UUUUCUUAGUUCGUUCAGAAGUAUAUUAAUCAUUUUGUCAGUAUAUUGUUAAAUUCAUUCAAGUACAUUUGAUUAAUUAUAUUAUUUUGGUAAAUUAGAGUAUUUAAAUUAAUGAUUUAGUUGGGUUAUAUAAUUUUUAUUAGUAAGUGUGAUUAGAUUCUUUACUUAAUAUAGUAACAUGAAUUUACGGGAUUUAAUCUAGGUAAUUAGUUUUAUUAAAGUAAUAUAAUUAAUCAAUUAACUUGAUUAAUUAGUUUAAUCACUUAGGUUUGGUAGAACCGUAGAAGAUAGUGUCCAGUAGCAACAAAGAUGCAUAUUAGUUGUAUAUUGCACUAUUUAAUUAGUAUUAUUUUUGUACUUAUUAUUUAUUACAUGUAUAUUUAUUUAGGAGAUACGGUAUGAUUUUCCAUAUUUAUUAUGGAGAACGUCCCACAGUUUUGCACGGGAGACUUGUAACAAUUCAGAACUGCCAGCACAUAGAGAGUUCGGUUGAGGUACCUAUUGAUCUAGAUGGCCUGAAAUCACAUAUUAUGCGCCUUUUGCGUGUGAACCAGCAGUCCCAUACUGUUGUCUUAGAGGGUGUACGGCCGCGGCUUGUUCCAAAUAGCUCGGUCAUUGUCCAUACGUUGUUCGAGAUGAGUAGGAACAACGCAUGGGCUUUGUACUCACGCAAGGCAUUGGAGGAGAACUUUGAUAUGGCGGUGUACGUAAACAUAGUGUCACGACUGGUGCAAGGUGAUGCAGUGACCACUGUGGAAGGCUCAAGCCAGGAGGUGAUGCAUGAAGAGGAUGGAGGGCAUGUCGGGGAGGGCAGUUCCAGUAGAGAGGGAGGUAGAGUGGACCCUGGUGAGGUCGAUGCAGGAUGCAUGGAUAAUGAAGACGGUGGUAGCGGGGAUGAAGAAGCUGCUGACAAUGAUGACCCGGUCCCGGCGAUCCAGUACUUUCGUGGUACUGGGCUCCUGGAGUGUGUCGUCGUUGAGUAUAACACCUUAUCUAACUGGGGAUACCAGAAUAGCGACAUUCAGGUCGGGCAACAGUUUCGUAACAGAGGGGAGGUCAUCCACUUUAUUAGCAACUAUGCUGUAAUAACAAGAAGGGACCACAAGUGCGCCCGGUCUAACCCUACGGAGUAUGAGGUCAGGUGUACGAAGCACCCGAAUUGCCCUUACUUCGUACGAGCACAUCAGCCGAAAUAUGAGAACUAUUUUGUGAUUAGUAGACACACCCCACAUACAUGCAGCGAAGAGGCUAUUAGGAAUGUGAGCCACGCCGUUGAUGCGAGGUUCGUAGCCCAACUCCUCAUCACGCUUAUUGGCACAGAAAUUUGUUUAUCGCCAAAAUCGAUUAUGGGGGAGGUGCACACUAAGACUGGCAUGCUUAUCAAUUACCACACCGCGUGGCGAGCGAAGCAGAAGGCGUUGAAGAUGCUGUUUGGAAGCUUCGAAGAGUCAUACAACAAUGCUCCGAGACUGCUGCAGAAGAUUGCCAUGACGAAUCCAGGGACUCAGUGGGCCAUGGCGGAUGAGCCGAUCAGGCUAGAUGAUGGGUCAUAUAGCACCACUGACCGAUACCUCAUUAGGUUAUUCUGGUCCUUUGGACAAUGCAUCGAAGCAUUCAGGCAUUGUAGGCCGGUUGUAUGCGUGGAUGCCACAUUUCUAAGCGGCAAGUUCCAUGGUACCCUUAUGACAGCAAUGGCGGCGGAUGCAAAUAAUCAGAUCAUUCCUCUCGCCUUUGCAAUGGUUGAGAGUGAAAACAAUGAUAGUUGGUUGUGGUUCCUCACCUUGGUAAGGACACGUGUCGUGGGAAAUAGGGAACGAGUUUGCGUCAUCUCAGACCGCAACAAGGGUCUUCUGCAUGCGUUGGACGUGCUGCAUGAUAGCACAAACUGCUCCAUUGCAUGGCCUGAUGUGGAGAGAAGAUGGUGCAUGCGACACUUGGGUGCGAACCUGUACACAAGGUACCGCAGCAAGUCGCUUGUAAAGAGAUUCAAAGGGCUAUGUCUUCAGAACCAGCAGGCGAAGUUCAAUGAGAUAUGGAGAGAGUUAAAUGAGACCACUCGCAAGAUGAUGGCAGACCAGCAAGCAGGGGAGGAUCAACUGCGGGCGCAAAUGGUUGGGGGCCAAACUAUCGUUAGUCGUUCACGUGGUACAUUUAGCCAGUGGAUAGCGGGGAAGCCGGCGGAGCGUUGGGCCCUUAUCCAUGACACUCAUGGUGCCAGGUACUCCAUCAUGACAACGAACAUAGCGGAGGCGUUCAACAAUGUCCUGAAGGGAGUACGGGGCCUCCCGUUGUGUGCCAUUAUUGAGCUCACAUUCUACAGAACGGCGGACUACUUUCGAGACCGUGGUAAUGCUGCUAUGAAGUGCAGCACACGGUUUUCACCUAAGGUGGAGCAAAUCAUAUCAAGAAGGAAGAGCAAGGCACACUUUCAUCGGUCGAGGAUCUACGACUUGGCCAACAAUGACUUUGAGGUCAUGUGCCGCCGUAGGUAUGCUUCAGGGUAUAGCGCCGGGGACACCGUGCAGCAAUGUCAACUUGGACCUAACGAGGUGAAGUGCACAUGCAAUAAGCCAAAACUGCACCAUAUCCCGUGCUCGCAUGUCUUAGCCGCUUGCAGGGACAUAGGUGGCAAUGACGGAUCACAGUACGUAUCACCGUACUUCACGAUCGAUGCAUUGAGAAGCACAUGGCUUCCAAAGAUGCGGUCCUUUAACAUCGGAACCAACUACAAAUCGAUCGAGGGCCCUAAGUGGCUACCUUAUCCACGAGCACGACGCACAGAUCCGGGAAGGCCUAGAUCUACGAGGCUGCAAGGUGACAUGGAUGAAGCAGAUGCUGUUGAUGGCCUUCGCAGGUGCAAACUUUGCAAACAACCUGGACAUGACAGGAGGACUUGCCCGACCCGUCAGUAAACUAUCAGCCCACUGUCAAACUGAACUGUCUUAGAGACUUUGUAUUGUAAAAUGUUAUUCACCUGUUAGUUGUACUACUUAUUGUGCAUUAUGUGGUUUGCACUGUACCCCUUUAGACAAGAAAUGACCAUUGUAUUGUAAAUGUAAUUUUAUUUAUUUAUUUCGUGUUUCUUAAAUAUUCAUGGAUCCGUGUUUUGAUGCAGAGACAGAGCGUAGGUAGUCAGUGAGCAAGAAAUCUAUGGCGGGAUCCUCUAGUACAGGCUUUCCAUGGACACCUGCAACGAUCGCUAUAGCACUUAAUGCCUCCUUACAGGUUGUGCGCGAAGGAAACGAUGAUCCGUUAAAGGAGAACAACAUAAUCCAAGCCGUGGCGAAAUUGCAUGCAAGACCCAUAUGUUCUAGGUUAACCGCGCCACUCCAAUGUGUAACCACCGAGGACCUUAGGGCCCUCUUGUAUCACCGGCGUCAAAUGUAUCUGAGGGUCCGCGAACUGGCCGACCAUCCUUCUGUGAUAGGUUUCUCUAGGAGGCAAAGAACGAUAGUAAUGUCGCCAGACCAGUAUGCAUCCCAUAUUCAGGCUUUCCCGGAAGACGAACAGUUGAUCAACAAAGAAAUCUCACACUUCUUGACGAUGUGUAUGCUCUUCGGCGGGGGUGUGAUGCCUGGUUCGCGUAGAAGACGACGACAGUCAGCGAAUCAAAGGGGUACAGAGGCGACCUCUACGAAUCAUCCAGAUAAUGACGAGGACGAAGACGAUGACGAUUUCAUGCCCCCCAUGCCUAGACGUUCGAACAGAAAUACAGGAGAAAGUUCUAGGAACACUGCAAGAAGACGUUCACGCACAACAUCGAGAUGCCAUACAACUGAUAGGGAAAUAGGACGUGGUACCACCUCGGAGAAACCUCAAGAUGAUGACGACGACGACGAUUUCAUGCCACAACGACCCCGCCCUCCGAGGCUUCCAUCUCCGGAGGACACCGAUGACCCUGAAAAUGAUGAUGGAUUUGCUCGUACUCAUUUUUACAACUUCCCAGAACCACCUCGGAGACGACAACUAUCUUACCCGGAUAGCUUUGACCAUCGCACCUGGAAUUCUUACGCUAAUUUGCGUCGCCACUUUCCUUC
This is an RNA transcript of Phragmites australis (common reed), 4037 nucleotides long. RefSeq lists it as uncharacterized. Lineage: Eukaryota; Viridiplantae; Streptophyta; Magnoliopsida; Poales; Poaceae. The transcript has 3 exons. The record is from RefSeq and is a predicted model, not a curated record.